This is an RNA transcript of Dermochelys coriacea (leatherback sea turtle), 6847 nucleotides long. It is a transcript of the gene named dedicator of cytokinesis protein 2-like, with no coding region annotated. The record is from RefSeq and is a predicted model, not a curated record. NCBI's taxonomy places the organism in Eukaryota, Metazoa, Chordata, Testudines, Dermochelyidae. The transcript has 53 exons.
CUGGCAGCUCAGCAGAAGGAACUGGCUGCCACACCGCGCGGGGACAGGCGCAUCGCUGGGUUGGGCUGGCUACAAUGGCCCUCUGGCUGCCCACCAAGAAGGAGAAGUAUGGAGUUGCUUUGUGGAACUUUUCGGGCACGAACGAGCAUCACCUGCCGCUGCAGAUCGGGGACACAGUGCACAUCCUACAGGCCUUGGAGGGCUGGUACAGAGGGUACUCGCUCCGGAACAGAGCCACCUGGGGCACAUUCCCUGUCGCACUGAUCCACCUGAAGGGCGCCCAUGUGAAGCAGAAGGGGGCGGAGGAGAACAUUGUGUCUGCGGAGAUGCCGAUGGUGCAGGAGAUCACCACCACGCUGCGGGAGUGGGCCACCAUCUGGAAGCAGCUCUAUGUGAUGGGGCAGAAAGAGCGGUACGGGCAGGUCAGGAGGAUGAUGUGUGAGCUGAUGGAGAGACGCUCGCAGCUGCUCUCUGGGACACUCCCCAAGGAUGAACUCCUGGAGCUCAAGAAGGAGGUGACCAGCAAGAUCGACUACGGGAACAAGAUCCUGGAGCUAGACCUGGUUGUGCGUGAUGAGAACGGGAACAUUCUGGACCCCGACAGAACCAGCGUCAUCAGCCUCUUCCAGGCUCACAAACAGGCCACGAGUAUGAUCAGUGAGCGCAUCCAGGAAGAGAUGUGCUCCCAGUACAGUGAGCUGGGCUGCAAUGCCCGCCUGGCCUCGCCCUCCCACAACCUCUACCUCUGCGUCCGCAAUUUCGUCUGCAACAUCGGGGAGGAGGCACAGCUCUUCACGGCACUCUACGACCCCGGCCAGCAGAAGAUGAUCAGCGAGAACUAUCUGAUCCGCUGGGCCAGCACGGGGGUCCCGCAGGACAUCGAGUUGCUCAACAACCUGAAAGCCAUCUUCACGGACCUGGGCAGCAUGGACUUGAAACGAGAGAGGCUCUUCCUGGUGUGUCAGAUUGUGCGGGUGGGGCGCAUGGACCUGAAGGAGACCUACACGCGGAAACUGAGCACUGGCCUCAGACGGCCCUUUGGCGUCUCGGUGAUGGACAUUACAGAUAUCGUCAAGGGAAAAUGUGAGAGUGAUGAGGACAAGCAGUACUUCAUUCCUGUGCACCUGGUAGCUGCUGAGAAUGAUUUCCUUCACAACAUGAUAAAGAAAGCAGUGGAGGGGAAGGAAAUCAGCCACAAAGGACAAGGGUUCUGGGUGUCUCUGAAAAUGCUGUGGGGAGACCUGAAUCAGGUGCGGAAAGAUCAUCCUCACUUGGUGGACCGCAGCACAGUUGUGGUCCGCAAGUUAGGCUUCCCAGAGAUUAUCAUGCCAGGGGACAUCAGGAGCGACAUUUACCUCACAUUGGUGCAGGGUGAGUUUGACAAGGGGAACAAGAAGACGCAGAAGAACGUGGAGGUGACAGUGUGUGUCUGUGAUGAGACUGGGAACAUGAUGCAGAAUGUGAUUUUCCCGGGUGCUGGUGACAAGCCUUCAAGUGAAUAUCGUUCUGUGGUCUAUUACCAGCAGCGGCAACAGCGGUGGAUGGAGACAAUGAAGAUUGCUGUUCCCAUUGAGGAUGUCCACAGGACCCAUCUGAGAUUCACCUUCAGGCACCGCUCUUCCAGUGACUCUAAGGACAAAAAUGAAAGAAUUUUCUCCAUGGCCUUUGUGAAGCUGAUGAGACCUGAUGGUACAACCCUGCAUGACGGUGAACAUGACCUCAUUCUAUAUAAGGGUGACAUCAGGAAAUUGGAGGAUGCCAGCUCUUACCUGAAUCUGCCUUUUACGAGAAGUCUGUUAGAGUCAAAGACCCUUUCUGGUUCCUCAUUCCGAGUGAGCGGUGGCAUGGCUGGUAUGGGCAUAUCUUCCCGGGACAGCUUCCAAAUCUCCACCCUCGUCUGCUCCACCAAACUAACUCAGAAUGUUGACCUGCUGGGGCUGUUGAAGUGGAGGUCGAAGCCCAACCUCCUGGCUGGAAACCUGCAGAAGCUAAUGAAGGUGGAUGGAGGAGAAGUCAUCAAGUUCCUUCAGGACACCCUGGAUGCCUUGUUCUCAAUUAUGAUGGAGAAUGCAGCCACCGAUGUCUAUGAUACUCUCAUCUUUGAUGCCCUAGUUUUCAUUGUGGGGCUCAUUGCUGACAGGAAGUUCCACCACUUCAAUGCUGUUCUGGAGGCCUAUAUCCAGCAGCACUUCAGUGCCACACUGGCCUACAAGAAGCUGAUCUCAGUGCUGACGCAGUAUGUGGAUUCAGCCAGACGAGGGGAGCCCUGUGAUGCGCUCUUACGCACCUUCAAAGCCUUGGAGUAUAUCUUCAAAUUCAUUGUCCGCUCCAGACACCUCUUUGCCCAACUCUACGAAGGGAAAGAAAAAGAAGAAUUCCAGGCAUCGUUGCAGCAAUUCUUCCUGACUGUCAAUCAGCUGAUGAAAUCCACCCCGGAGGGUACAAUCAUGGUGUCCCAGGGAGCUGCUCUGAAGUACCUGCCUUCGAUCCUGGAAGACGUGUUUCAGAUCUUCGACUCCUCUGUGCUGGGGUGCUUGCUGCAGGAUUUCUUUGAGAACCUGUCCCCUCUGCACCUGCUGAAGCAGAAGCUGCAGUCCCUGACAGACAUAGUCAACAGCAAGAUCUUCCAGUCCUAUGUGUGUCGAGAGAUGCUGCUGCAUACUACAAUCCCCAUCCUCCGGGAGCUGAUUGAGAAGGGAGAGGAGGAGGAGGCUUGCAUUGAGCUGCUCAGCAGUAUCCUGGAGGUGUUGUACAAAGCCCAGAAGAGAGCAGAAGAGCGGCUGACACGUCGGAGUGGAGAAGAGAGACAGCACAGGGAGGACUCUGAGCUGAGGAAGGUGAAGGGGCACGUGCAGAUGAUUAUGGAGCAGCUGCUGCGCACCGUCAUUCGCAGGGUGAUUGUCCUUGACCAGGAGCAUGACCUAAGAAGUCACUACGUGGCCUGCAUGGCAGCCAUCCUGAACCAGAUGGAUGAGGCCCAUUACAGCUCCUACAUCCAGGCCUUCUCUGCCCGGCCUGACCUGAUGGACUUUCUCAUGGAGACCUUCAUCCUGUUCAAGGAUCUGAUUGGCAAGACUGUGUAUCCCUCCGACUGGAUGGUGAUGAACAUGGUGCAGAACCGGGAGUUUCUCCGAGCCAUCAACCAGUUUGCUGACAUCUUGACCCAGAUGUUCCUGAGCAGCAGCAGCUUGGAACUGCAGCUUUGGAACAAUUAUUUCCACCUGGCAGUUGCCUUCCUCACCCAGGAUUCCCUGCAGCUGGAGAACUUCUCCCAGGCUAAGCGCACGACCAUCCUUGCCAAGUACGGAGACAUGAGAGCCACAAUUGGAGCUGCCAUCCGGGACAUGUGGUACAACCUAGGCCAUCACAAGAUUCAGUUUAUCCCUGGCAUGGUGGGCCCCAUCCUGGAGAUGACGCUGGUGCCUGAGCUGGAGCUGCGUAAAUCCACCAUCCCCAUCUUCUUCGACAUGAUGCUGUGCGAGUACCAGCUGACCAAGACCUUCGGCAUGUUCGAGGACGAGAUCCUGCACAAGCUGGACAGCGAAGUGGAGGGAGGCCGUGGGGACGAGCAGUACAAGCAGCUGUUCCAGAGCAUCCUCCUCAGCUGCUGCAGGAAUCACCCUGAGCUGGCGAAGCCCAGUGAGAACUUCGUGGCCCUGGUCACGGGCCUCCUGGAGCGGCUGCUGGACUAUCGCACUGUCAUGAACGACGAGAACAAGACCUACAGCAUGAGUUGCACCGUCAACCUGCUGAACUUCUACAAGGAGAUUGACCGCCGGGCCAUGUACAUCAGGUACCUGUACAAGCUCAAGGACCUGCACGUCAGCUACGAAAACUACACGGAGGCGGCCUACACCCUGCUGCUGCACGCGCGGCUCCUGAAGUGGUCAGACGAGCCGAACACGGCCCCCAUGCAGGGCUCCCAUAGCCAGAGCCUGCACACUCAGCGCCAGCUGAAGGAGGCACUCUACAACCAGAUCAUCCACUACUUCGACCAGGGCAAGAUGUGGGAGGAGGCAAUUCACAUCUGCAAGGAGCUGGCCGAGCAGUACGAGAGUGAGGUCUUUGAGUACGAAAUGCUGAGUGACAUCCUGCAGCGGGAGGCAAAGUUCUAUGAGAACAUCUUGAAGGUGCUGCGGCCCAACCCAGACUACUUCGCCGUGGGCUACUACGGGCAGGGCUUCCCCACGUUCCUGCGGAACAAGGUUUUCAUUUACCGAGGCAAGGAGUAUGAGCGCCGGGAGGACUUUGAGAUGCGGCUGUUAACCCCCUUCCCCUACGCUGAGAAGCUGCAGACCACGUCCCCGCCAGAGCAGGACGUCACCGACUCGCCGGGCCAGUAUAUCCAGUGCUUCACCGUGCAGCCCGUGGAGGAGGCCAGGGACCGAUUCAGGGGAAGGAAUGUCCCCGAGCAGAUCGUCAAUUUCUAUAAAGCCAACAACAUCCAGCACUUCAGCUACUCACGACCCUUCAGGAAAGGCCCAAAGGACCCUGACAACGAGUUUGCGACCAUGUGGAUCGAGAGAACGACCUUCGUGACAGCCUAUCCACUGCCUGGCAUCCUGCGCUGGUUUAUGGUCACAGCCACCACCCGGACCAUCAUCAGCCCCCUGGAAAAUGCCAUUGAGACCAUGAAGAAAACCAAUGAGAAAAUCCUGACCGAGAUCAACCGGCACCACAGCGAGCCCAGCCUGCCUGUCAACCCGCUCUCCAUGCUGCUCAACGGCAUCGUGGAUCCAGCUGUCAUGGGUGGCUUCGCCAAGUAUGAGACGGCAUUUUUCCAGGAGGUCUACCUGACGGAGCACCCCGAGGACCGGGCCAGUAUUGAGAAGCUGCAGGAUCUGAUCGCCUGGCAGAUUCCGCUCUUGGCAGAGGGGAUUCGAAUCCACGGCAGGAAGGUGACUGAGGACCUCAGGCCCUUCCACGAGCGCAUGGAGCAGUGCUUCGUGCAGCUGCGAGCCAAGGUGGAGAGCCAGUAUGGCCUGCGGGAGCUGCCCUUCCUGGAGGAGAGGCGCAGAGGCCGCUCCCACUCCAAGGUGUGGGGCCCAGAGACAGAGCAGCCCAGCCGCCCGCAUCGAGACAGCACAGAGCCCCCUCCCUCCAGGAAGUUGGAGCCCUGUGCUCCUGAGCAUCCCCCCGAGGCCGAGGAGCGGAAGAGCGCGCGCCGGGAGAAUCGUGGCAGCACCUUCUUUGGGUACCGGCGGCAGGAGCAGCGCCAGUCCAUCUUGGAGACCCCGGAGCCCAAGGAGGAGAAGUGGAGACUCUCCUGGAAUGUGACUGAGAGUUGCCUGGCUGGUGCCGAGGGAAAACAGCCACCCCCGCAGAGAGAUGCCAGCGCUGCCUCCCCCAGUGCAACAGGUACAGGCACCCCUGCAGUGUGGCAGGGGCAGCAGGGUCCCCCCGGGGCUUUGCAGGGCAGGUGAAGAGCGCCAGCAAGGCCCCCCCACUGCCCCGCAAAAUCAGCUCCAGCGUGUACGAGGCCUUCAUGGAGCAAAGCACCGGGCCCAACAGUGGGAAGCAGCUGACAGUGGAUGGAAGUAAAGGACUGAAAUCACCGCCCCCGCCACCCCCCAAAUCCAAGCGCAUGACCCAGAUCUGAUGAAGGCAUUUGCUGGCUGCUUGGUUUGGCUCUCACCCCUCUGUGCUCUCCCUGCUCAUCCCUCUCCCCGCACACGCUGGCUGAGCCCUGGUCUAGACUCAUUCAUCUUCCCUAUGGCAGCCUGAGCAUCCCACACACACCCCGCCCCCUGGUUCCUGUGUGCUUGGAAUGCAGAAGCCCCAGAUUGCUCAGCUUGCCUCUCACAGGAGGCACCAGCCUAGGGCUCAUUUGCUCCCCCUGAGGAAGGUGUAGGAAACAUUGCAUCUAGCAAAUCUGCCCCAUGACCGGCUGCCCCAGCCCCAGGGGGCAGCUGCAGCCCUGAAGCAGGGCUCUGGCUCCCUUCCCACUCUCCUUUUCCAACGAACCAUUUGUGCUCUAGAUAGUCUCGUUCUCUGUGUAAAGGCCCAGCCCCGUAGCCAUCCUGGGGCAGAGUGCUCCACAGGCGAAUGCAAUGCUGCCUGGGGAAUAUAUUUCCUUUGAAUUGCCCCUAUUUAGUUCUACGGCCUGUCCCUUUGCUGUGAGAACGGGGGCUCCCCCAGUUGCAGCCCAGUUAGUGUUUGAUAGACUAGUGCACUCACUCAGCAAGAACAAUCCCCUGUGGGUGGGGCUGGAUGGCCCUUGAGCACUGGCUGGUCACAGAGCAGCACUGGAAUAGGCUCUGUAUUGGCCACCAGCUGCUCCCAGCUGUUGCGACCCCCGCCCCCCCCUCGAGCUGCGGUGCAGUCAGCUGCCUGCAUCACCUCUGGGGCCCUUCCACAGCAACCACAGCUCAGGGCAUCUGAGGCCAUUUCCCAUCGCCUGGGCGCAGCAGGCCCCCCGCACCCCUGAUUGUAGGGUGCCUCCCCACAUUGGACUCAACGAUGAGGCCUAGCCCACAGGCCUGGCAUGGUGUGAACAUCCCCUGCUGUUCAGCACUGCCGGGGCUUCUGCUGACCCCAGCCCCAGAGUGGGGCAGCGGCAGGAGCCGGGCUGCUGUGCGCUGCACUCGGGUCCCCCCACCAGGCUGCAGCAUGACGAGAGGAAGCCAGACAGGCUUGUGCGUCCCCACCAUGGGCACCGCACCAGCCGAGCCACCCUCGGGGCAGGGCAGCCCCAGGAUUUGUGAUCUGCCCAGUUCCUCACAGCAGCUCCUUGCCCACCCCAAGCCAGCCAGGCCCUGCUGAUUUCCCAGCGCGUCCCCUCCGCACUGCUGGGUUUUGUGUUCCUGGGGCCAUGGGAUGCCUGCCAAUAAAGAGACUAAAGCCUCCA